This is a long non-coding RNA of Poecilia latipinna (sailfin molly), 511 nucleotides long. RefSeq lists it as uncharacterized. Lineage: Eukaryota; Metazoa; Chordata; Actinopteri; Cyprinodontiformes; Poeciliidae. The transcript has 2 exons. The record is from RefSeq and is a predicted model, not a curated record.
CAAAAGACCCUUAUAUAUAGUUUAAGUUUGGUGUUGAGUAUUACUCUUUGUAUUAUGUGUUUUCUGUUCAGCGUUACUUUUGUCCCUUAAGGGAUACCGUAGUUAGGGCAGUGAUGACGUCAACACCUUGCCGUAGCCAACGUUGCUGGUAUCUGGUGGGGAAGUUUGGGUAACCGAGCCGCUGUGCUAACACGUGGGAAAGACCACAAGAUAUGUGUUCUCCUUAAGAGUGUGCGUCAUUGAUGAGAAACCACACACACACCUUCAUGUAGACACAUUUAUGCCCAUCCGUGUUCAGUGGAUUAUCUGUGAUACAGUUUGGAAUACAGAACAGUUAAAGGAUCCUGCCUCGUGUCUUCAUUAAACUCCUGGUGCACCUCAUCCAAACAUCUGGUCCUGAGCUGAAUCCUGGCCUGAGUGGUGUUCUGGCCGACACUCCAGGUUGAGAGCGGUGACAAACCUGAACAGCGCCUAACAGUCCUUCAACUUUAGAACAAACUCACUUACAAAA